GAUUUCUGUAGAUCCUGAACAGAAGCUGAAAAGCUGCUCUCACCUUGUUUCUGGAGUUCUACCACCCUGCAGAGCUGAGGUCCAACACACCUGAUCCAGCUGGAGGGGAAAAUGGGCAGUCAAGACCCAAGUGGACAUACAAAAGCAUGCAAAAAAGAAAUACAGCAGGAUCAGGCAGUUUAACAAUGAGGAAAUACUACUGUGUCCUUCCAGUUAGCUGUGGGAUUCAAAACAGUGCCACCAAUGAAGGUGGAUGACACAAUGCGUCACUGGAAGAAGAUUCAGGAGUCACCGAGGAACACAGAAGCCGCUUGCCUGAAAAAGGAAAGUGCAGCGCAAAGAAUGACCAACCACCCGAAUAAUACCUGCUCUGUGGUGGUCCUGUGGGGCCCUGGCCAUUGAAGAACACAAUAAAAGGACGAUAAUAAAGUAUACA
Molecule: long non-coding RNA, 436 nt
Filed under: Astyanax mexicanus (Mexican tetra)
Lineage: Eukaryota; Metazoa; Chordata; Actinopteri; Characiformes; Acestrorhamphidae
Description: lncRNA (ENSAMXG00005004461.1)
Source: RNAcentral